RNAcentral lists this ribosomal RNA (468 nucleotides) under uncultured bacterium. RNAcentral's name for it is "partial 16S ribosomal RNA". It matches the Rfam family "Bacterial small subunit ribosomal RNA", at positions 28 to 507 of the family's 1533-position model. The record is from RNAcentral.
GACGAACGCUGGCGGCGUGCUUAACACAUGCCAGUCGAACGGAAAGGCCCUGCUUUUGUGGGGUGCUCGAGUGGCGAACGGGUGAGUAACACGUGAGUAACCUGCCCUUGACUUUGGGAUAACUUCAGGAAACUGGGGCUAAUACCGGAUAGGAGCUCCUGCUGCAUGGUGGGGGUUGGAAAGUUUCGGCGGUUGGGGAUGGACUCGCGGCUUAUCAGCUUGUUGGUGGGGUAGUGGCUUACCAAGGCUUUGACGGGUGGCCGGCCUGAGAGGGUGACCGGCCACAUUGGGACUGAGAUACGGCCCAGACUCCUACGGGGGGCAGCAGUGGGGAAUAUUGCACAAUGGGCGGAAGCCUGAUGCAGCAACGCCGCGUGCGGGAUGACGGCCUUCGGGUUGUAAACCGCUUUCGCCUGUGACGAAGCGUGAGUGACGGUAAUGGGUAAAGAAGCACCGGCUAACUACGUG